ACUGGGCACGGUGGCUCAUGCCUGUAAUCCCAGCACUUUGGGAGUUGAGGUGGGUGGAUCACUUGAGGUCAGGAGUUUUACACCAGCCUGACCAACAUGGUGAAACCCCAUCUCUA
Molecule: non-coding RNA, 116 nt
Organism: Homo sapiens (human)
Lineage: Eukaryota; Metazoa; Chordata; Mammalia; Primates; Hominidae
Rfam family: Metazoan signal recognition particle RNA
About the family: The signal recognition particle (SRP) is a universally conserved ribonucleoprotein. It is involved in the co-translational targeting of proteins to membranes. The eukaryotic SRP consists of a 300-nucleotide 7S RNA and six proteins: SRPs 72, 68, 54, 19, 14, and 9.
Source: Rfam